GCAGGUGAAUGCAACGUCAAGCGAUGGGCGUUGCGCUCCAUAAUUGUUUUAUUUACUUAUUUUUAGAAUUAUUGCAUAGCACAUUUAAUUCAAUACGAUGCCGGUUUAAUCACCGGCAUUU
Molecule: small RNA, 121 nt
Filed under: Serratia fonticola
Lineage: Bacteria; Pseudomonadati; Pseudomonadota; Gammaproteobacteria; Enterobacterales; Yersiniaceae
Description: Fumarate/nitrate reductase regulator sRNA
Rfam family: Fumarate/nitrate reductase regulator sRNA
Source: Rfam by way of RNAcentral